UGCGUAAGCGGAUUAAUAAGUCAGUGGUGAAAACCUGCAGCUUAACUGUAGAACUGCCAUUGAUACUGUUAGUCUUGAGUACGGUCAAGGUAGGCGGAAUGUGUAAUGUAGCGGUGAAAUGCUUAGAUAUUACACAGAACACCGAUUGCGAAGGCAGCUUACUGGACCAUUACUGACGCUGAGGCACGAAAGCGUGGGGAGCGAACCGGAUUAGAUACCCGAGUAGUCC
Molecule: ribosomal RNA, 229 nt
Filed under: uncultured bacterium
Lineage: Bacteria
Description: partial 16S ribosomal RNA
Rfam family: Bacterial small subunit ribosomal RNA
Source: RNAcentral